Molecule: ribosomal RNA, 447 nt
Filed under: uncultured bacterium
Lineage: Bacteria
Description: bacterial SSU rRNA
Rfam family: Bacterial small subunit ribosomal RNA
Source: RNAcentral
CCCAGACUCCUACGGGAGGCAGCAGUGGGGAAUAUUGCACAAUGGGGGAAACCCUGAUGCAGCGACGCCGCGUGAAGGAAGAAGUAUUUCGGUAUGUAAACUUCUAUCAGCAGGGAAGAAAAUGACGGUACCUGACUAAGAAGCCCCGGCUAACUACGUGCCAGCAGCCGCGGUAAUACGUAGGGGGCAAGCGUUAUCCGGAUUUACUGGGUGUAAAGGGAGCGUAGGCGGCGAUGCAAGUCAGAAGUGAAAGCCCGGGGCCCAACUCCGGGACUGCUCUGGAAACUGCGUCGCUGGAGUACGGGAGGGGCAGGCGGAAUUCCUGGUGUAGCGGUGAAAUGCGUAGAUAUCAGGAGGAACACCGGUGGCGAAGGCGGCCUGCUGGACUGCAACUGACGUUGAGGCCCGAAAGCGUGGGGAGCAAACAGGAUUAGAUACCCCCGUAGC